CAUUAAUUGUGACGGAAAUCCUGGAGCACUCGGGGUAAUUCUCUUCCGCUCCCCCGGUGUUUUACGUCACCCCAAAAUGUGCAGUGUCCACCUCCCUUGUGGGCCCACAAGGUAAAGAACCAAUCCAUGGACUCCCAGCUCACCAGGAAUUGUGGCCAGAGCUGUUCUGUGUAGCCUCCAGUCCCAUUCCCAGCUGUCCUUGGGGUGCUUUCCCAGAAAUCCUUUUGUCCUGGAAAGUCUCAAGAUGAAAGAAUCUCCCAGGCUGUAAUCACAGUGCCCAGCCCCAGGAAUUCCAAAAUUGCCCUAAAUGUGGAGGAAAACAAUUAUAGCAAUUGGGCUGCUGAUGUACUUCCCAAAUUUGCCCCGUGACGAAGGGAAGCUCACGGAGAACUGCUCCGACUUCCACCAUGGGAAUAUAAAAAUGCUCCCAACCCCAGCGCUCCUCACACAGCUCCUCUGGGUUUGCUCUUCCCACUGAUCUCGGUUUGCCUCCACCCCUCCACCCCUCCAUCCCAAGAUGUCCUACUGCUGCUACUCCCCCUGCUACACCCUGUGCUGCUCCCCCUGCUACCGGACCUACAGCUGCUGCAGCCCCUGCUACUCCCUGAGCUGCUACCGCCGCUCCUACGGCACCUGCUGCAACUACAGGACCUGCACCACGCGCUACUACUACCCCUCGUGCUGCUCCUACUCCUGCUGCUACCCCUGCUGCUGCUAAUCCCAUGGAAAAAUGCCCACAACCGGAUCUGCACCAACUGAAGACCAAUGGCUGAGCCCACGGCUGCUGUUUGCACAAGUGCUGAGCCCCCAGGAUGAAGCUGCUACAAAUGGGGGCUUUGCUGUGCUCUAAAACCUCUUGGAAUUUCUGCUUUUGCUGUUCUCUCUGUCUGCUCCUUCCUGUCUUUCUCCACGCUCCUGAUAUUCCGCAUUGAAAGCCUCCCACAGCCCCUUCGGCAGCAGGAGGGAUGAUCUGCAAUUUAUGUGGAACUUCUCAGGGUUGCUGCAAUGGGGCUGAAGGACCUCUGUGAAAUCAGAUUUGGAGUCAUCUGCAUUUUCAAUAAGCGCUUCCAGCAGGGUGCUGCAGCCCUGGGUAAGGAAGAUUUACAACUGUCUCGCCUUUGAUCUGGAUUUACGAGGACCUGAAGGAUGAACAACAUGGCUUCAACGUGUUCUGGAGUGCAGUGACUCAUCUCCCAGGGCUGCAUCCAGGAUCCCAAAACUAUAAUCUUUCUGUAUCUCUGCCAGCUCUUUUUCUUAUUCUAUUAAAUACUUCCUGCAUUUAAAAAAC
This is a long non-coding RNA of Corvus hawaiiensis (hawaiian crow), 1288 nucleotides long. RefSeq lists it as uncharacterized. The transcript has 2 exons. The record is from RefSeq and is a predicted model, not a curated record. NCBI's taxonomy places the organism in Eukaryota, Metazoa, Chordata, Aves, Passeriformes, Corvidae.